UCCUUGGUAGCUGAGUGUUAUGGAGUCUGCCUGCAAUGCAGAAGACCUGGGUUUGGUCCCUGGUUUGGGAA
This is a non-coding RNA of Bos taurus (domestic cattle), 71 nucleotides long. The record is from Rfam. Lineage: Eukaryota; Metazoa; Chordata; Mammalia; Artiodactyla; Bovidae.